Molecule: long non-coding RNA, 2155 nt
Filed under: Equus asinus (donkey)
Lineage: Eukaryota; Metazoa; Chordata; Mammalia; Perissodactyla; Equidae
Description: lncRNA (ENSEASG00005030549.1)
Source: RNAcentral
CAGUUUGCAAUGCGGGGGUGUUACCCUGCUGUUUUUCCCCCUGGCAGAAAUGACAGCCAUGAAAAUCUCCAGGCUGCAUUUGAGCAGCAUGAAGGACAUUGGUUUCAGGUCUACACAGAACAAAAUGUAAUGGCACACUGGCAAAACUGAGCCACUUGGAGCUAUGGAAUAAACAUCUUACAUAUCUGAAUAUUUCACAGCAGAAUGCCUACACUUUGCUGUAAAUUCACGGAUAACGUGUAUAGGACUGUUGGUAUUCUCACUUUUCUGAAUAACUGGAAUGUGCAGACUUAAUCUUGGAGGAACAGUGAAUUUAAGGAGUAGACUUUAUGGCGUGGAUCUAAGAGGUGCUCCAGACUGGCCGUUGUUACUUGGUUGGCUGGUGGCCCAUGUGCAGUUCAGCGGGGUCUUGACACAGACUGGGGCAAAAAGAGGAAAUAACUACUUGAAAGUAAGGAUUCUAACCCACUGACCAAAAAGUCCCCGCUGGAAUUCUUCUCUGACUCAACUCAUUUCCUUCCAGCUUUCUGGUACGAUGGGUUUUUUUGUUUAUUUGGUUUUGCCUUUCAAUCUCUGAUAAAUCUGAAUUAUAGUCACUCUGUGAUGUGUGCUAUAGAAAAAAACAAAAAAGUAGAUUGUUUAGAAUCCUUGUUUAAACUGGAAUAACUGAUUCAGCUUUGAAAGUAAUACAUGAUCAUUUCCUGACCGGCAAAAGACCCCAAAUCCUGUGUGACCAGCGUUCGCAUUUAUGCAACUAAAAUGCCUCGAGUUUGUUUGCUGUCAUUGGGGGCUGGAUAGAAACGCCCUGCUGAUUGUCUAAAAUACGGUUGGCAGAGUCACUGACUAGAUAAUCUUACUUAGCUUGCAAACGUUGUUAGAAAACCAGCACAUGUCAUAUCAUAUUGUUUUUAAUGCAGUAAAGAGUCAGAUGAUACUGCACAGCUUGCACCGCGCAGGAAGGCCGUGUGCAGGCCUGGCUGCUCUGCUCGCCGAGUCCAAAUCAAUUAUGCUCUAAUCAAGACUGUUUCCGGAACUGGUCGGAUGGAAGUUCAGAGUGAAAAGGAAAAAUUGCUAUUUCUCUCCAGAUCCUGUUUGCAUCAGCAGACUCCAUCUGAGACACAUCCUGUGUGACCCCUGGCGUAGUGGGGGAGGGAGACUCUUCUGUUUGACUUUUGACUGUCACUAAUCUGAAGGCCUUCACUUUUCUUUUUUCAGGAAAAGUUUGAAUUAGUAUUAAAACCCAGUCAUCAUCCUCAGUCCAUAAGGAUACAGAGUCUGGGCUAUUCAUUUUCUCAAAUAGUGCAUCAGAAUCCCCAGGAAACUUAUUUAACAUGCAGAUUUCCAGCCCUACUUUGAGACACACUCUCUAGGAAGGUGCUGUUCUUGCAAACUACCCAGAUGACUCUGAAGUGCAAUCAAAUUCAAGAAUUUGCAUCAGGACGAGGACUGCUCAAAUCCAGCUUCCUAAUCUUACGCCGUGGAGCCCAGCCAGGCCCAACUUCCCCACUGAUGCUCUAUUCCUGGGAAAAUUGUUUUGAAUUUGGGACACUUAAAAGGGACCUCCAAGAUAUGCCCCUGCCUGUGUGUGCAGGAAGACUUCAGGACAUCACCUGCAUGCGUUCCCAGGGAGGGGUGAGUGAGCCUGUCGUAAGGGGGGGUCUCCCAUCCGACUCUCACCAAGUUUUCACCAACGCAUGUCAAAAAGAAAAAUAAGGGUAGAGGUAAAUUUAUUCAAAUUAUUUUGUGAUUCGUUAGCCAUAUCUUUCUGGAGAUGUUAAAAUGCCUGUCUUACUCUGUUCGGGCUGCUAUAACAAAAUACCACAGACUGGGUAGCUAUGAACAGAAAUUUAUUCUUCACAGUUCUGGAGACUAGGAAGUCCAAGAUGAAGGUUCCAGCAUGGGCAGCUGCUGCUGAGGACCCCCUUCCUGAUUCAUCGCCAUCACCUUCCCCUGUUCCUCACAUGGGGGAAGGAGCUAGGAAUCCAGAGGGAGCCUCUUUUAUAAAUCCCUAGUCCCAUUGUUCAGCACCUCCCAAAGGCCCCACCUCCUAAUAUCAUCGCCUUUUUGGCUAGGGUUUCAACAUACGAAUUUCGAGGGGACACAAACAUUUAGACCCUAGCAACAUCUGUUCUUUUAGAGAUUUAUUUUCAAUUUA